UAAAACGUCGACUUAACGAAUCCAUGUUCGAAUCCUGCAAUCCACAUUUUCCCUUUAAUUUUUUUCUUUCCUUUCUUUCCAUCGUUUUUUUCUUUCAGAAAAGAAAAGAAGACCUUCUUCAGUUCCAUUCAGAAAUUGGGGACUUCCAUGAAAGCAUCUCCUUCGUUCUCCUCGAUUAACUAUGAAAUUGAGAAAGAAGAUCUACGAAACCAUCCCUCUUCUUCAUUCUCCUCGAUUAUUUUAACGUACAACAAAAAUACCGCAAAACGAAGAUUUUGGUGGUAGCGGAUGAACAAGAAAAAAUGACGAAAAUUCGAAGAGACUUCCCAAAGGAAGGAUGGUGACGUAUACGUUUUUCCCCACUUCCCUGAAGCAAGCGCUUAAGGAAUGCAAAGAUGAUUCCACAAGAAGACCGACCAUGGAGAGAACAACAUAUGCCGUUGUGUUGGGAUUAGCUUUUACUAAAAAUCUUGAAGUUGUCAACAUAUAUCUUCUUCUUCUUGAUUUUUACCAAGGCUCUUCCUCUUGAUUUUUUCCAAGGCUUCGUGUGGUAAAGAUCUGUUGGAAUGUAUUAUAUAGAAAAGUGCAUAUAAUUUUUUUGUUAUAAAAUAUUUUUGAAUUUUUGCUGUAUAGAAUGGAAUGGUAGGCGCAUCGCGCGUGCGUGUUAUACUAGUAACAAAAAUAAAUAAAUAAAAAUAUCCUAUCAGUUUUCCAGGGGAA
Molecule: long non-coding RNA, 720 nt
Organism: Papaver somniferum (opium poppy)
Lineage: Eukaryota; Viridiplantae; Streptophyta; Magnoliopsida; Ranunculales; Papaveraceae
Exons: 2
Source: RefSeq, a predicted model, not a curated record